CGUAGGGUGCGAGCGUUAAUCGGAAUUACUGGGCGUAAAGCGUGCGCAGGCGGUUUAGUAAGACAGGCGUGAAAUCCCCGGGCUCAACCUGGGAACUGCGCUUGUGACUGCUAAGCUAGAGUACGGCAGAGGGGGUGGAAUUCCACGUGUAGCAGUGAAAUGCGUAGAGAUGUGGAGGAACACCAAUGGCGAAGGCAGCCCCCUGGGUCGAUACUGACGCUCACGCACGAAAGCGUGGGUAGCAAACAGGAUUAGAUACCCUGGUAGUCCACGCCCUAAACGAUGUCAACUAGGUGUUGGGAGGGUAAAACCUUUUAGUACCGGAGCUAACGCGUGAAGUUGACCGCCUGGGGAGUACGGCCGCAAGGUUA
This 371-nucleotide ribosomal RNA is filed under the name uncultured organism. RNAcentral describes it as "bacterial SSU rRNA". It matches the Rfam family "Bacterial small subunit ribosomal RNA", at positions 526 to 896 of the family's 1533-position model. The record is from RNAcentral.